AGUGAACGCUGGCGGUAGGCCUAACGCAUGCAAGUCGAACGGCAGCACAGUAAGAGCUUGCUCUUACGGGUGGCGAGUGGCGGACGGGUGAGGAAUACAUCGGAAUCUACUUUUUCGUGGGGGAUAACGUAGGGAAACUUACGCUAAUACCGCAUACGACCUACGGGUGAAAGCAGGGGAUCUUCGGACCUUGCGCGAUUGAAUGAGCCGAUGUCGGAUUAGCUAGUUGGCGGGAUAAAGGCCCACCAAGGCGACGAUCCGUAGCUGGUCUGAGAGGAUGAUCAGCCACACUGGAACUGAGACACGGUCCAGACUCCUACGGGAGGCAGCAGUGGGGAAUAUUGGACAAUGGGCGCAAGCCUGAUCCAGCCAUACCGCGUGGGUGAAGAAGGCCUUCGGGUUGUAAAGCCCUUUUGUUGGGAAAGAAAAGCAGCAGGUUAAUACCCCGCUGUUCUGACGGUACCCAAAGAAUAAGCACCGGCUAACUUCGUG
RNAcentral lists this ribosomal RNA (492 nucleotides) under uncultured bacterium. RNAcentral's name for it is "partial 16S ribosomal RNA". It matches the Rfam family "Bacterial small subunit ribosomal RNA", at positions 29 to 507 of the family's 1533-position model. The record is from RNAcentral.